Molecule: long non-coding RNA, 21793 nt
Filed under: Citrus sinensis (sweet orange)
Lineage: Eukaryota; Viridiplantae; Streptophyta; Magnoliopsida; Sapindales; Rutaceae
Description: long non-coding RNA (CSIN_LNC001438)
Source: RNAcentral
UCGUUUUAAGAAGUCCCUUGAAGAGGAUGUUGGUUAUCACACCAAUGGGGACUUCCGCAAGCUUUUGCUACCCCUUGUGACUGCCUACCGAUAUGAGGGUGAUGAGGUGAACAUUACACUUGCAAAAUCAGAAGCUAAGAUUCUCAAUGAGAAGAUUUCUGAUAAGGCUUACAAUGAUGAAGAUCUCAUCAGGAUCUUGGCUACAAGGAGCAAAGCACAGAUCAAUGCGACUCUGAAUCAAUAUAAGAAUGUAUAUGGGAAUGAUAUUGAUCAGGACUAAGAGGCUGACCCUAAAGAUGAGUACCUCGACCUACUGAGGGCCACAGUUCAGUGCUUAGUCCACCCUGAACAUUAUUUUGAGAAGAUACUUCAUCUGGCAAUUAACAAACAGGGAACAGAUGAAGGGGCUCUUACUAGAGUCGUCACCACAUGGGCCGAGGUCGACUUGAAGGUCAUAAAAGAUGAGUACCAGAGGAACGGUGUUCCUCUGGAUCGUGCCGUUGUCAAGGACACCUCUGGGGACUACGAAAAAAUGCUUCUGGCACUGUUAGGACAUGGGGAUGCUUGAGUUGUUCCCUAUUUCUUGAAGGAUUGAGAGACAAAUAUGUGUUUUAUUUAUCUAGGUUUGCUGUUGCUUGAGUUUGCAGAGUUCUCCAUCCAUGUUUGAUGAUCGUUUUAUUUUCCGUCUUUUGGUUAUGCCGGUUGAAAAACUUAAUCUAUGAGCGCUUCAGUUAUCUCAUAUAUAUUCAAAAUAAUAUCUGAUUUAUAUAUGCAUCUAAAUGGUGGUUGGUUUGUGAUUAGCAACUUGAUGCUUGAGUGUGUGAUGAUCUAAUUCUAAUGCCCCUGAAGCAGAUGAUGUUGCAAUGUAACAACUUAUAUGGGUAGAAACUUUUGGUUUUGAUAGAAAUAAAAAUUUUUCUUUUGCUUCAUUGUUUUGAGUCUCAUGUGCUAAUAAUGCUUGAUUCAAUUGAUUGGAAAACAAAUUUUGUGACCAGAGUAAUGCCAGUACUGCUUGAAACUAGUUCUGAGUCACAAUGAAAGAUACUUUGGUUGGUGGGUGAAAACUGGAUGUGGAAAGGCAGUAUGUGAAAGAGAUCAGUUACUUAUAAUGAUUUAGUAGCUUACUAUAUGAAAGUCUAACUUGGAAUUCUGGAAUUGCCCUCUUUUUUUUUAUUUGUCAGAGGAUUCUUGUAGUCUUACGUAGUUUUCUCAUUUUAUCUCAUUUGUCUUUCUGCAUUACAUGUUCAAUGAAGUCAUCAUUUUUUAAGCAUUGUGAUUGACUGACUUCAUUGUAUAUUCAUGUACACUAGCUUUUGCUACCCCUUGUGACUGCCUACCGAUAUGAGGGUGAUGAGGUGAACAUUACACUUGCAAAAUCAGAAGCUAAGAUUCUCCAUGAGAAGAUUUCUAAUAAGGCUUACAAUGAUGAGGAUCUCAUCAGGAUCUUGGCUACAAGGAGCAAAGCACAGAUCAAUGCGACUCUGAAUCAAUACAAGAAUGUAUAUGGGAAUGAUAUUGAUCAGGUACCCAUUUGGUCUUUGAACGCUAUGUUUGGCCAGAUAUUUUCUGAAAGCUUAUUUUUCCUCUUCUUUAAAACUUUUGGCUCCGGAUCUUCUUCUAAAAUUUAAUCUAUGUAUCUUUUCUGUGGUAAUUGAGGCCAACUGAUUGACCUCAUGGAUUCUUUUUCGCAUUUUCAAUUAAAAUUUUGAUUUCAACAGUUUGUUUUUACUGUUUAUGAUAGAAUAAAAGAAUAAUUGGAAACCAUUUCAAGAAUGAAAUAAGAUUAUUUGGUAAAACAUUUGUGGUCUUGAGGAGGGCUUUCACCACCUGAUAAGCCAUAUCUCUUUUAGGUUUAUUUUUGACUAAUCGCAUUAGUAUCCUAUUUGCAGGACUUAGAGGCUGACCCUAAAGAUGAGUACCUCGACCUACUGAGGGCCACAGUUCAGUGCUUAGUCCGCCCUGAACAUUAUUUUGAGAAGAUACUUCGUCUGGCAAUUAACAAACAGGGAACAGAUGAAGGGGCUCUUACUAGAGUCGUCACCACAAGGGCCGAGGUCGACUUGAAGGUCAUAAAAGAUGAGUACCAGAGGAGGAACAGUGUUCCUCUGGAUCGCGCCGUUGUCAAGGACACCUCUGGGGACUACGAAAAAAUGCUUCUGGCACUUUUAGGACAUGGGGAUGCUUGAGUUGUUCCCUAUUUCUUGAAGGAUUGAGAGGCAAUAUAUGUGUUUUAUUUAUCUAGGUUUGCUGUUGCUUGGAGUUUGCAGUGCUCUCUAUCCAUGUGUGAUGAUCGUUUUAUUUUCAGUCUUUUGGUUAUGCCGGUUGAAAAACAUAAUCUAUGAUCUUAUAAAUAAGAUGGUGACAGCAUUUGCUAUGAAACUGCCACUUUAUAAAGAGUUUUUUUUUUCGUGUUGAAUGGUUGGUAAAGCAGGAUGUUGUUGCUCCAUUAGUUAUGCCAUUUUAAUUGUAAUGCUAGAAAUAUGAGACAUUCACGUGUUCGAAACUAUUACUUCGUGAAUUCCCCGAGCCAAAAAUUUCAAAUGUACAAUUCAAUUAUUCUGAAAGGUGCAAUCGUUUCUACGAGUCUCAGUUGAAGAGACUUCCAAUGUCUUCUGCCAUUUUCCACUUUGCAGUUUUCGAUUCAUUAAAUUGUAGCAAAUUUCUCAGCAGAGUUUGAAACGUUUAAGUUGAAACUAUGAUCCGAUUAUCCAUCAAGAAAGCUAUCUAUGACAGACGAAUUUAAACCUGCAAAGAGUAAAAGAUUAUUCUGAUGUCGUAUUAACUGGAUUCACAUUGAUCGUUGCUAUCAUAGUCCAAUUAUCCAUCAAGAAAGUUCAGACUGCCACCUCAUUUCUACAUUUUCAUAAACAGACAUGUUUAUAACCAGGCUCAUACUCCUUCUCACCACACAAGCCGCAUCUGAAGUAACUCUAUUUCAGAAACGAGAGGAAAGAUAUCCUGCAUCACAUUUACAGGGGGCCCAAAGCAAAAACUGCGGUUCCAACCUAAUAAAAUAUCAUACAUUCGAAGUUUCAAGACAACAACAUAGACAACAGUGUAUUACAUACACGAGUCAUAAUAAACAACUGGAAGAAAGACACAUUCAGUUUACAAUCUUUUUUAACUCAUGGAGAUCCAUCCACAAAAGCCCCGAAUUGCAAAAUUUCUCAGUAAUGGGACAUCCGCAGCAUCUUCUGAUGGCUUGCUAUCUUACAUCUGACGGCCCAAGAUAGAUUAAGACUUCUUAUUAGUGGUGAACAGAGUAGCAACUUUAGGAGAACAACAACAUUUCUUGCCACAGACAAAUAUACAUCACUUCUUCGAGAUGUUACGCGAGAAGAUCCUCUUGCAAUAAGGGCUGGUGCGUAAAUUAGUAUGUCGUCUAGCGGCUUCAACGAGCGAAGCAUGAAGAGGACCCUGCUUCAGACAAAUGAAAACAAAACAAAGAGGGACUGCUCAGCAAUUUAAAACAAUACUAUCAAGGCAGAAAAGUAAACCAGAGGAUCUCUCUCUCCAAACCUUGGUCACUGACAAAGCACACUGAAUUACAUAAUUGGCGAAUGGAUCUUGCAACAACUGUUCGAAGUGAGGCACAGAAAGCAAUUCAUGGACAAUUUGAGAUCGACUUUCUCCAAAAUGCUUGAGGCAUUUUUCAACCACGUGGCUGCUGAAUUUCUGUGUUGAGAGAUGCACAUAAUGUCCUUUGAACUGCGACAGCAAGUUGGCACUGACAGAAGGGAUCUUUAGCUCUAUUAUAUAUUGUACAACAUAAUUUCUGUGACAUAAAAACAAAAGAGGUCCUGAGUCAGAGACAAAAGAUAAAAUUAUGGUACAGAUACCUGUUAGAACCUAUCACUUCUAAGACUAAAUUAUGAAUCAGACAAGAUGAUUUAACUUAGGACAUGUAAAUGAAUCAAUCGAGAUGAUAUAGGAUGUCCUACAAGCCCAAGAGGAAGUCAAUAAAGGAGAAAUUAAGAUGCCACAAAUGCUAGGGCCAGAAAGGAGAAGAGAAAUGAAUAAGGAAAGUUAACAAAAUAUACCAAACCAUAAAAUGCACCAUUCAGUCAAACUUAUUCUGAAUUUUCAAAUAUACUUAAGAAUCAGAUGCCCAUUUUUUCACCAACAUAGCAAGGAUAAUGAUCAUGCUUCAUUAAUUUAGGGUGAUGAUAUGAAGAUAAAAAUGGAACACCAAGACUGUGAGCAAAAGGCAAAAAUAUAAUUUGUCUUUCAAUUGGAAUGGCAUAAUACCAUCAUGAGACCUCAAACAGUCACUAUGUUUAGGGAAGCCAUAAUAAGCAUACAAAUGUUAACAUGAUAGUACUGCCUAAAUUCUCAUCAUGAAAAGUUUCACUCUUACAAACAAAAACAAAAACAAAAACAAAAAAUAUUGAGAAGGAAAGGCCAUGCUCUGAAGAAAUUCUUGGUGUAAACACGAAAUGAGAGUGAGCUACUCAUCCAUCAGACACCCUUCUAACAGUGAGUCCAUGAAAAGAAAGAAAGUAUUCUAGAUGAUAAUAAAGUCUGUCAAAGUUGAGGUAGCAAAUAUAACAAAAACGGAUGGGACUUCGUUACAGGCUACCUUUAAUAACCACGGCAAUAUGCUGAUUAGUGAAACAUUCAUCAAUAAGAGUUUUAUGAUGCAAAAAACUGAAAAUUAACUAAAACUACGCUUUGGAACUCAUAUGUACUCUACAUGAAACGAUGGGGUGCCCUUCCUACAAAAUAUAGAAGGGUAGAGACCGCCAAAAGUUGUCAUAAAAAAAGAAGGAUCUAUUUUUUAAAAUUUAACUGUCCCUGAUUUUUCCAUUAGGAAUCAAAACAUACUUAUUUAAAUGACAACUAUUUGGUGGAAUAAAAAGAUUUAUAUUUUUUUAUUAAGAAUAGCCUCUUCAAUUAAGCUAAGCUUUAAUUAAAACAAUGAGGUGAGUCAAAGAAAACAUCGAGGACCAGAACAAUGUGAUUAAUCAAAGAAGUAGUUAUCCCAGGGUAAGAAAACAUUACUUUGUAUUACAAAUCCUAUCAAGAGUUUGAGAGUAAAGAAGAAUUAGUGAACAUGAGUGAUUACCCAAAAGGAUCUUGAGCAAGGUGACGCCCAUUCUUGGAAAUUUCAGUGAUCAACUUAUCCCGAUGUCUCCCAAUGGAAUGAGCAAUGCAUCGUUGCAAUACACAACAGCCAUGCUGAUGAGUAGCUAUGUCAACGCAAAACUUUGCAGCAGCAUCAAAAAUAAACUGCAACACACAAUGACAGGUUAUUAAAAAGAUUAAAACAGGUUUCAAAUAUUUGUUGGCAAAUUAUUGAAGGGCCUGCAGAUAUAUUUUAAUUAAAAAUAUUUGCCCAGACAAAAUCUACACUGGUUUAAUAAAUUGCUUAAAGCAGAAAUUAUUCCCAACAUUUUUGAGAGAAUGAUACAUGCUACUUUCAUAUAUAUUCUGGGAACAUAAAUUCUUUGGUCAAGUUUAAGUUCAUCAAUUACUGAGCUGGAUCUAAGACAAAUAUCAUCAGCAUCAGAUUAGAUUUGAAAUGGAAUCUAGUCGUCACAAAUUUGCCUAGCUGCCAUUCUAAAUACAAUUAGAAACUCCACAUGAUGAGGCAAUCUCCAAGAAAUUAUGAGUUGGUCAAGCAUUAGUUUCUCUUCCAUGGCCUACAACUGCAUGUAUGGUCUCAUACACACAAGUUUAUAUCUGCUUCAUUCCACUUGGUACAAGCUAUAUCUCCAUGCACGUGUGCAUCUAUCUAUUCACCUAGAGACAAGCACCAAUUGAUGACCAGAACUUGCUGGUGCUAUUUUAAAGUCACCCUCAUACCAAAAGCCAUCUAUCGUACAAAGUGGCAGGAGAGAUCUGCUAAUCAAACGAAAGAUAAUCAUUACCUCUAAGGUUCCAGUUUAAGAUGAUGCUAAUUCACUAACAAUUUGCACUCUAAGCAAAGUUGCAGAUUAGAAUAAUUCUUGAUUCCCAGAUUAUUAACUUGGACAACAUUUGACCAAUCCUCUUUAUGAUUUUCCAUUCUGCGCUGACCCAGUGAUAAUCAUAAAUGUGUUGGUUCAAUAUUUAGAAAACUUCAAAGUACCAAGAUAGGUUGUCAAACCGAGAUAUAUUCCUAACAUUAAUAUAAUGGCAACAGGCUCAAAAUGUCAACAGAACACAAAAAACCAUGAUAUAUUGGAAUUGGAUGGAGGGUAAACUUGAAAGAACAUGACAAGCUAAAAGACAUAAACUAAUAAAGGAGGUUGAUAGUCAUAAAUUUCAACACAGAGGCAUGAAAUAAUAUGAUCAUCUCUAAAAUUGAAUUGGCAUUAAUUUAGAAAGAAAUAUUUGUAAUUUUGGUCCAUUGAUUAGAAACCAUGACUGGAAAACUUCCUGAAGUACCAGGCUAAGGUCAAACCAUUCAAGGAACGGAAACUGCACUUAAUACUCUGGAAACCACUGAUAGAGAGUGACAUUAUAUGACUUGAAAGUGAAGUAAACAUUUCCGUAAAGAUCAGUUGAUUCCUAGCUAGUGAUCAAAUAAGUUCCUUGUGCCUGGCCAAUGUAAAGCAGGAUUUCUGUUGCUGACCGAGUAUACAUAUGAGAUUAACCUGUCGUCAGUUGAUUGGCUUUUAAUUGACAGUCAUAGGCAUGUUACAAUAAUUAUAUAAAGGAUGGUUUGAUUACCCUUAAAUAACCAUUUCGCUUAUGCCUCCAAUGCAGGCAUGAAGCAGAAUGGUGAAAAGAUCAAUAUAGGCCACCAAGAUACUAGUUCUAUGCUCUGAGUGACACUGAUAUGAUCUAAUGCAAAUGCAUAAGAUCCAUAUCACAAAUUGAUGUAGGAAGACGUCAAUGAGAAUGACCACCCAAAUUCUAGAGUCUUUUUUUAAGAAACAGCAUACCAAAAUAUCAAAUGCUAUAGAUAAGGAGAUUAAAUAACAUUUGAUCUUAAGAAAUUAACAUAACUCUCAUUUUACUAAAGAAAUGUAGAGAAAAAACUAUACCUCAUUAUCUUCAUUGCUAAGGCAUUGCAAGCAGCGUUGUAAAACAUGAUUGCCAUUCAAAUCCUUAAUAAGAUCAAGAAAGCCAGGUUUGAGUGCUGCUUUGACCAGCGAAAUCUGCUGCCUAGUUUUUAGAGUCUCAAUCAACUUCUGCACCACCCGUGUGCUGGUAAUCAUAACACCAAAUCACCAAUUUAUUUGGAAAGAACCAAAAAAUUGCAAGAACAGUCAUUUGAAAAUUAUCAAUGAGCAGUGCAGCUAUUAAUUCAUGUACAAACAAUUUACCCAUAUGUGUUUAAGCAAACUCUGACAAGCUGUCCUGGUUCUUCAGUUACCAUUAGCAGAAUCCGCGUCAUUUGUUCUUCAGUGCACACAUUGAGCAACUUCUGCACAAGGUAAUUGCCAAACUGCUCCAUCAUAAGCUCAACAAUAUGAUCAACGACCUCGUCAAAUAUAAUUUGUAAAUCUAGAAAGGUUCCCUCAUCAAACACCCUUUGUAAGAACCGACAACCAUUUUGAUCCUUUGCCAUCGAGUAUAUAUAACCGCGGACAUCAGCCAAAGAACUGGAACUUGAUAGCAAAUGCAAUGGACAACGAAUAUCCAUUAAGCUCUGACCAUUAUCACAAAUUACUCCAUCAUAAGGACAACCAUCAUGUUUACAAAUUUUCACCGGUUGGUUUCUUGUUACAAUCUCAUUGAGAUUGUUCUGCUUGUAACCCUUCAAUGAAUCACGUCCUUUGCUGGCAGCUUGAUUAAUACUUCUUCCUUGUAUGAUGAAACUAUCUUCACAACCAAAACCCUCUAUAGCACCAGCACCGUUGACAGGCAUGAAAGAUUCUGAAACCCUGUUGUUUGUCAUUGCAUUAGUCCUCCCUUUCAACAUUGAAUGAUUAUACAACAGAGUGUCCAAAUCUAAAUCAGACUCAGUUUGCACCAGCUGACUGGAAAACAAAUGAUUCAUGACACCAAUAUCUCGGUUAGAAUCCAAUCCAAGUUGCUGUGCUCCAACGAAAGCAUCAUUAACAUAAGACCUACUAAUUCUAGAUGGAUUUUGUAACCAAGUACCCGCAUUACUCCAGCUCCUCCCCUGUUCCAUUCUCUGCUGAAGGUACUGAUGCCUUAAACUACUAUAACUUGGACCGAAACGAAAAUCAUUAGAAUGAUCGAGACAAAGACCAAAAUUAGACUCCUUCAAGUCACCCUCACCGUACUGCCCACCAAAAGCAGUCAAUAAAGACUUCCUUUCAUCAUCAAAACUCUUAGAAACUGCAGUAUGAGAGGAACUUAAUCCUUGAUAAUCGGAAACAACGUUGUUAAGACCAUCAAAUACCCUAUAUUUCUCGACAUUAUAAGGUACACCAACGCUCCCUCCCAAAGAAGCAUCACUAGUAAAACCAAAGCGAACCCCAAGAGGGUCCACGAUAUCAAGCCUCUUCAAUUUAGCACUAUGAUCCAAGUGCUCCUCUCCAACUCCUCCAAUAUUCAUUCUGUAAAGAUUCUCACACAAACCCGUUUCAUAGUCCAAAGCGUCAUUAACAUUCCCCCUGUGAAAACAAGAAUCAGUUGAUUUGGCAUCCCACAACAUAUCAUUAAAACAAUCAGUGGCAGCACCGCCACGUGCCUUAUACUUGUUAGCAUUCUCAACACUGUCAUUAUAGAGAACAUUGUUUGGUUUGGAAAAAGGAGAAGCAUCAUCCUCAGAGAAGCAACAAAACCCAGUGUUAGAAAAACAAGAACUUGAAGGAGAAGAGUGCUCUGUUGUAGAUUGCAGAGACACUCUACUAAAAGGUGACCCACCCACAAGAUUAUGAUGUUGAUGUUGAUGUUGAUGAUGAGCAAAACUCAGAGAUUGAUUUUGAGUUAUCUCAUUCAACAUCCUCCCAAGCUCAUCCUCCUCUCUUCUCAUCCUUUCUUUUAUCACUCUCUUUUCCUCCUUUUCGGCUUGCUUAUCCAUCGUCUCAACAACAACAACAGCAGCAGCAAUACUAUUACCACGUUACUAAAUAUGAAACGCAAAAACACACACGAAACAACGUCAGAAAGCAACCAAAACACCUACAUACGAAGAGGAUAUUUUAUAUUUUGGCUUUCGUUUUUUUUUUUUUUUUUUCCUUUUCCCCCCUCUCUUUUCUGUUUUGAGUACGCAAAUGAGAGAGUGAGAGAAAUGUUUUUUUUUUUAUUUUUUUUUCUGGUUUGAUACAGACGGUUAUACAAAAGUGUAUGCGCCGUACGGGCGGCUGUCGCUCGCCAUGAAAAUGAAGUCGAGUGUGCACACACCACCUUGCGCUGAAUAAAAAGCAGAGAGCGAGAAUGAGAGGGGAUCUGACUAGGAAAUUUCUUUUAUAUAUUAUAUUCUUUAAAAUAUAUAUAUAUAUAUAUAUAUAAACUGAGAUUUAAAUAUAAUUAUUUUGUUAAUUAACUAGUUUAAUUUUGAUCUUGUUAGUUAUAAGUAUCUUUUAAGCUAAACUGAAUCCUAACCUCUCUGCUCGAUUUUCUCUUGAUAUUUUUGACCGGCACCAAUCGAGAUCGGGAUCUUUAACAUUCUGAAACCCACGCCAAUGGAAAUCAAAUGAAAAAUCGUUUUGAGUGUUGAUCGAUCAGACGGUUAGGAUUGUAUUGUUUACACUGAAGCCGGACUCAGCUGAUAAAUAAAUAAAUCUCGCAAUGCAAGCCGUUUCUCUGUUGUAUAAUCCUAUUUCAAUCCACAUCUACCGUCACUUCCAAUUACGUAACCUAAAUAAAUCUCGGGCACUGAUGACUCAUGAUUCAUGAGUCAUGAGUCAAACAAAUGGGCAAUGAUACAGAAAUGGUCGAGUACCACAUUGCCACUUGGCCGCUGGUUUCUUGUCACCCAAGACAUCUGGAAGAGAAUUUCAUUCAACUUUGCCCUCGCGAACCUUUUUAUGACAAUUUGAAGAGCCAAUAGGAUUUGUACCAAAGCAAAUAGAGGACCGAACCAAUUGAAAUAAGUCGUGCGAAAGGCUACACAAUUUUUCCAAUUAUAGCUAAGCAAAUUAAUGUUCCAACUUUGUCCUUUGUCCACCGAAGAAAGGAACUGGAAUGAUGAUGGCUUUCCAACUCAAUUUUUUUUUAUAUAAAGUAAACGGGGAACCAGUCGUCGAUCAUAUUGGUAUAAUGGUGAGGGAGGGAGGGAAUGAAUAUUUUGCAUAUUAAUUAAUAAUUUGACAGGGAAAGCUAACUUAGCUCUUGAAAAUUCGAAAUUAAUUCCUCGGCGGAAAAAACCACUUGGGCUAAGCCCAAGUGGCCAGAGUCACUCCCUCACAAAUGUGAGGGAAGUGGUUCGAGCCUCCGCAGACGCAUUGUAGGGGUUUGAUUUCAAUUUCUUUCCUUAGAGCCUCAGAGCUUGAGUGAAGACAGUCUUUCUCCCAGAAUGGGAGUUGACGUCCCUCGAAUAUUUGAGAGGGUUAAAAAUCUGAGCGGUACCAUAUCAGAAUUGAUGUAAACGAGUCUCAGUAUAUAUAUGAUUGUAAAUGUCAUCAUGAGCAAUAGUUCUCGUUCAAAAAAAAAAAAUUCCUAGGCGGAAAAGCAAAAAGCCCCCAAAUAAUAUAAUAAACUAAAAUGGUCGCAAUUCAGUAGUAAUUCACCAUAUAACUUCUCAGAGAAGGUAAUCAAUCAUGAGACCGGGAUUCUGUUGCGAGUCCCUUUCUUCCCCUUUUUAGUGUUUGACUAGUGACAUGCAGGUAUACUUUAUUUAAAGAAUUAAGAAGGAAAAAAAAAGACCGCGUUUUAUAUUUAUGAUGCAAUGGAGAGCAAACAAGCCUUCCUUUGAAAGUUCCCAGCCGAUGCGGAUUCGGCGAAUUUGCUUGCUAUUCACGUCAAGUGAAGGGGCUAAUAAAAAAAAAUCCUGCUGUAUUUUUUUUUUAUAAAUAUUUUUGAAGGAAACUUUAAGAAAGAAAGAAAAAAAUAAAAAAAAAAGAUAAUUACCGCUGGCCGUUACAUGAUAAUGGCGGAUAGGCGAUAGCUGUAGACGACAAGCAGUGGUGAAAAAUUUACAUUCAAGUCCUUGUCACUCGGCAAUACUGCAGUAGCACGCACAAAACAAAACCAUAGCCUAUAUAUAUGAAAUAUGUACAAUAGCUGUCCUGUCUAGGUGGCUGCUGCAAGCACGCAAGUUUGUUACAUCGUUAAAAAUUUACAGCCAUGGUCGAGCCCCGAGCUAAAAUAACUUCUCUCUAUUCAGCAAUUACGAUUCAAGUUUAAAGCCAUUAAAGGAUUAACUAAAUAAUAAGCUUACUUUUUUCUUCUUUUUCGUAUAUUCGGGCCUAAUGCAAAGUCUUUUACUUCUUGGCCAAUUUGAGAUUGUUUUUGAGAGCUUAAAGGUGACUUUAAAGUUAAAAACUAAUUUUAGUAUUUAGUAAUUUUUUUGAAAAAUCACUUUUGGUAAAAUCAGUUAUUCUUUAGUAAAUUUUGAAAAGUAGGAAAGGAAUUUCUUUUCGAAAUCUGAUUUUAAGAAUUAAUUUUACACUGAUGAUUACAGUUCCAUGUAUAUUUCCACAUAUUAUAUAAAAAUCCAAAAUUAUCCUUAUUCAAUUAUGAAAUUAAAUGAAGAAAUUUAAAGAGAUUAAUAUUGUUACCAAUAAUAUUGAGAUGACAAAAAAAAUUAAUUAUUAUUAUUUUAAUUAUCAAUUAUUAUAUAUAAACAAUAAAUUUUUUUUAUAUGUUUAUAAAUGUGUAGGUAAACUUUUAUUUAAUAUUGUAUCUAUUUCAAUCAUUUGUAUUUUUAUAGCAAUUUAACAAUAAGAUUUAUAAAAUGUAUACCACUGCUUUUUAGAACUUAAAAAAUUUUGAAAAUAAAUUUUACUAAACACUUAAUUGAUUUUCUUCAUAACUAAAUAUUUCUAUAGUACACCUGACAUCAAUUGUUUUAAAAGUUACAACAUUACUAAAUUAGCCAUUUAUCUCGAGCAAAGACAUAAGUUACAUGGGCUUAAACCAUGGGUGGAAUCAUGCCAAAAAUAAUAAGAGCACCAUAAUUUAAUUUUCCUUUACCUUUAUGUGCAUUGAAACAUAUAUUUUCAACAAUUAAUAUCAUAAUAUGCAAUACUUGAUUUUAAAAGUUUAAAAAAAUAAUAUUUUAAUCCGGAGAGAUCCCUUAACUUAAAUUCUUUACUUAGAACUAUGUCUAAAUUGUGUUGUUUAUUGGAAUCUACUUAAUUUAAUGAUAAGGACUUGAAAAAUAAUGUUUAUAUCUUCGUUCAUCUAUCAUUAGAAUCCACACAUAUUUAAUAAGGUUAGGUUUUUUUUUAUUUAAAAUUUUGAUACAAAUCUUAAGCUAUUGAUUUCAAUAAUUCAACGAUAGAUAUUAAAACUUAAAGUAUCAUUUAGUGAUGGUUAUUCAUCCACCAUUUGAUUGCUUGAAAUCAAUACCUCAAAAUUUAUAUCAAAAUUUCAAGUUAAAAUAACCCCACUCUAUUUAAUAUUAUCAACUCAUUUAUCACCACCAAAUUUUAUGAGUUCAAUGGUUUAAAAAUUGUAUUUCCGAAGUUUAAAAAAAAUUAAAUUGAUUUAUCCCUUCCCGAGGGAUAGUUAGGAUUACUUUUAACUUGGCCUCUAUAUACAUUUUUUUUAAUUUCUAUUAGCUUGAAUUGAAACACAAAUUUUCUGUGAUGGUUAUCAUAUACAAAUUGAAUAGGGGAUAAAUAAAGAGAAAAAUAGUAUUUGAUGUUACUAACUCAUAUAUUACAUAACAACUAAAAAGAAAAUGAAACAAUAAAGCUACGUCCAUCACCAAGAGAACUACAUCUAAAAUAAUAUUCGGAUAGUUGAUUAUGCAAUGAGUUACUUCAAAAAUUGUGAUUCUACUUGGUAGUGUUGCCAGAUCAGGAUUCUCUCAUGAUCUGAUCAUGUUCUGACCAAACUAAUUAAUUGUUGAUUGGUUGUUAAUAAAUAAAAAAAAAUAAAGAAGUUAAAUCUUACCCAUACACUACCACUAAAAGACACAUGGCAAAAGAUUUUAAAAAAAUCAGUAUAGCUCAGAUCAGGAGAGGAUCAUGUUCCAGUGUUGCCAUCACAUGUCAGAUUUAUAAUAAAUGUUGGGACAUUUAAUAUUACUUUAAUGAUAAUAAUAUAUUAAAAUUUAUGAAAGUUCACAAUUCACUAUAUGGAUAACACAUUGUUUAAGAUAAAAAAUUUGUGAUAAAAUUUAAGACAUCUAACUAUAAAUCUCAAAUAAAAUAUCAUUUGCUUAAAUAACAUAUCACAUGCUCUUAAAAAAUGACACAAAAAAUAUAAGAAAAAUGUGUCUAAGCAUAAUUAUAAUUUUAGGCUUCAAUCUUCAGUUCUUCACACAGUAAGCAGACAGAUGAAAUCAGAGAGAGGUCACGUAAAAGGAGAGGGUUGUUUGACCGAGACAGAGAGGCACCUAUUGUAGAGAAGUUGAUUUUGAAAAUUGAAAGAGAUGGUUCUAGUAUAAAGGUCGUUUUAAUAACAAAAACAAAUUAACGAGGAGAAUUAUAUAUACUAGAGUAUUAGAGUAUCUUGUAGUGUGUGUAUAGUCCUUCUCUAGUAAAAAUAUUAUUAAAAUACAAAAUUUAAUAUAUUAAAAACUGUAUUUUUUGUUUGUUGGUGAAUUAAAAUCUGAUUUUUUUUUUUUGGUUUUUUAAUGCCCUUACAUAUGGAGAGUAAUUAUGUAAACUAGUAACCAUUGGAUUGAAUGACAUAGAUGGCUAAAAAUUUAUGCUAAAAUUUUUUAAUUCAAUGUUGAAGUUAACAAACUAAUUUGAAUUCUAAUUGUACGUGUAACUCAUUUAUUAAGUAAUGAAUGUCGAUAACAUGUUAGAUUAAUAUUCUAUUAUCGGAUAAUUAAAUGACACAUCUAUUAAAACUUAAAUUUAGACUCAAAUGCUAACAUAAAAUGUAAUUUAUAAAUUACAAGUUAAUAUCCGAAUUAAAAAACAUGACUUCUGAUUUUUAUAAAUUAAAAUGUGAAGUGGUAAAGUGUGACAUGACAAUUGCAUUUGUAACUGCUGCACCAAUACGCUGUAGUUAUUUUGUAGAAGAACCUUGAAGACUUUAAACAUCCCCUUCUGCAUGGGCCGACAAGACCGGGCCAUUCAUUGGUUUGGAAAGGUUCGGAAACAUGCUGAAAAUAAAACGUAUCGAGCGACUUUGACUUGCACAUUUAACGUGGAUACACGUUAAAGCUGAACAAAUUUGGAACUUGAAAAAAGUCUAGAAUCAUAAUGUAUCACUAAUAAAUAAAAUUGGACAUGGUAAGCAGGCGACAGAUUUCACUAGAACAAGCACUGAAAAGCACAAGAAUAUGGACAAACAAACCGAAUUAGGAAGAAAGUCCAUAGCUCAGGCAACAUGUUAAAAACCCUAAAUAGAACAAGAUUCCCAAAACCCACAAUGGACGGUCAAAUAAUAUAAUCACACACCCUUACUACGAUGAAUAACACAACACCAGACAGGGUAGAUAAAAUAACUCAGUUAGACCUAACAAGUUAAACCAAGGCAAUGCUGCUCUCGCCGCCUGGAGGCUUGCGUACUCCGCCCAGAUAGUCUCGAGACUCUACCUUACCAUCAGCAAAAAUGUUACUGCCACUCAUCUCCCGUAGUUUUGCUACACUAAGUGGCUUCUCGGCAGAUGAUGGAGGAACAUCACCCUUGAAUAUGUCAUUUCCUGAUAGCUCAGAAAAUUUCUUAUCGUAAAUUUUCUUUGAUGUCUUCAUCACAGGUUCCUCAGUUGAACUUAUGCUGCUCUGGUCUCCAGCAGGCUACAAAGUUAAAUCCAGGGUCAAAUGCAGUUAGAUACUUGAAUUCCAUUAAAAUAAACGCACAGAGCCAAAAAAUAGACAUAGAUAAUAAUAAAGAAGCAGAGAAUCAAAGAACUGGAAAAACGGCAUGAAAAGCAAGCAUAUAUUGCAGUUGGAACUGAAAAGGGCAAAACCACAAGUCCAUGUGCAAUUUGUGCCACAGAUACUUCAACAACAAAGGUUAAGGCAAAGAAUAUAAUCAAUUAAAACAUCCUAGCAGACAAAAUUACUACUGGGCACUCAAUGCAAUCUUCUUAACCCCUCCAAAAGAAAACACAAUGUUAUGAAUGGCUUAAUGGAGCCUAAAUAUGGCAUAACUUCAAUUUUUUUUUAGGAAUAAAUCUAGAAGUUUUUUUAUUCUUUUCGUCUUUUAUAAGAAAAUAUAAACCAAGAAGUUGUUCAAUCAAUGUACUUGGCUCAUGCAUGAUCUCCUAUGCAACCUCUCAAUUUAAUCCUAAAAUUUCCACGGCAAGGGAAGGAGGGGCAGGGCAAGGGGAACUGAGAAGGAGAACAAAGAAAUAUGUAUAUGUAUCCAAACAUCACUCACAGUAAGGACUCCGACAGAUGUUUGUACAUCUUGUGGAGCAGAGUCUCCCAAGUUGAAGUUUUCCUUCAAUGCCAAGGCACGCACUGCUGGCCGUGGUAAAAUUUCUGGAGGGGGUGCAAAGAUAUCAUGUCCGCUAAGCUCCUUGCUCUUAGCAUCAGAAAUCUGCUUCUUCAACUUUGCCUCUGACUCACUUUCCAGUGUCCCACUAAGCUCACGCUGCUUAGCCACCUCAGGUAGAGUAGUAGGUUUUUUGGGUGAAAUGCUAUCUUCCUCACCAAACGAGAUAUGACUGAUUCCAGCAAUUGCUUGCUAACAAUUCCAAGCAUCACCAUAGAAAAUAGUCAGUUUAAGCCGACAGAAAUUCUUCAAAUGCAAGAAUUAAGAUACCUGAUACAUCCGUAGUCCCGUUUUGUUAUUUGGAGUAGGAUUUGCACUACCAGAUUCUGAUUCAUCAUUUUCCGCACCAGCUGCAAAAAUGCCACUACCAGUCAUCUCCUUCAUUUUAUACCCUGAACAAGGUUUCCUGCAAAGUAGAACAUCAAUGGUUUUAGUCUUAGGUCGUUUAAUACUCUCAUAAAAACAGAACCAAAUAUAGAGAGAUAAAAAGUUUAUUUCACUUAAAUAAUAAAAUACAGAACUUUAUAUUAACAGAGCCAUCUAAUUCAGUUAUUUGCACCAAAGUUGCUGGAUCGAGCUGAAACUGAUAUUUAAGGACACACUAACCCCCCUCCCCAAAAAAAAAGAAGCAUUUAUGGAAAACAGAAACAAGUUUAUGAGCAUUCCAUCUCAUUUUUGCUAAACAAUCGACUAUCACUUCUCCGUGCCUUGAUGUUUUAAGCUUUUAAAUGGCCAGCCAUACAAUUGCAAACACUAAAUUGGAACUAUCUGACAAAUUGGUAAAAAAUUGAUACGUAGUUGUAUUGGUUUCUUGUUUCCUGAUUGAUAAAUGCCAUUUUGGACUACUUAGAAAACAUACAUUUCUAGUCCAUAAGUGAAUCUUCCCUAGUGAAAAUUCUGUCUAAUACUGAUUUUCAUCAAACCUACUAAUAUUAACGAGGAUACCACAGCCAGAUCUCCUUUGAUAGAUCUAAAAUCAACAGGAUUAAUCAAGCUAAAUCUAAUUAGUAAUGCUUUUUCAUCAUAAAUUGAAACAUCUAAAAGAUUAUAAGUUUCAUGCAAAUUUAAUAAGGAGUAUAUAUAUAAUCAUAAGUUCACAAGCAAUAUUCAAAGUCAAAUCCAAGUAAAAAUCGAAAGACCGUUGCAGAAAAAGACAAGUAAAACAUUAAUGGAAACCAAAAUCCAUGACGACUACAGACAAAGGACAGAACAAACAAAACAAAUGCGUGUAUAUUUCAGCAAAACAAAACAACACAAAACAAAACAAAUUUUAGGACCAUCUAUACGCAUUUAUUAUCCAUUAAAAAAAUUAAAAGUAAAUAAAUAAAACUAAAUUUGGAAUGAAUAGCAGAUCUCACCUUCUGUUUAAACUCUCAACUUCCUCAUCCGUCACCUGACCCCCAAAAACCACUUUACUGAUCCCAUCCGACGGCUACAGUUGCACCACGUCAACCAAAGUCGUAAAAAAUAAGCAGACGAAGUUGUAAAAAAGCAACAAAAUCAAAAAAGAAAAUGAGCUUUACUUGUCCGCGUACGGAGGAGCGCGUGGAGGAGGCCUGAGCAGGGGAAUCAGACGGUGGAGUUUCGGACCAAACGAGCAGAUCUGCUGUUGAUGUGUGCGGUUUCCUCACCGGAGUGCUUCUCUCCAUUUCAAUAAUCAAAUUACUUAUCCAAAAAAUAGUACAAAGAGCCGCUCUUCUUCAACAAGUUUUCUGUACAGCACACUGUGUCUGUGGACUGUGGCUCUGUUUUAGGCCGAAGAGAAGGAGAGAAAAAAAUGAAGGAUGGAUUGAAAUGACGAAAGUGUCCUCGUGAUCUGGAACUUUCUUGCUUUAAAGUUUAGCUUUUGGGAGUGAUGAUGAGUGAGAAGAGAGCUUAUUUAGCUUCAGCCUUGGAUCAUAGAAUUAAGGAGUAGCUGCUACUACAACUCUCUUUUUUUUUUUUUUUUGUUGUUCUGUUUUUAAAGCAAAGAAAGAGAAAAUUUUGAAAUAUUAUUAUAACCGUCGAGACUCUCACUCCACUGACACUUCGAAACUUAAUUUCAAGUUUCUCUCUCCACUACAGAAUUUGAAUCUUGUACCGCCCUCAAUUGAUUUCUGAUCUGAUUGUUUCUGUGCCACGCAAUCCACCGGCAAGUGCCCGUUGCCUUGGACGAUUAACCGGCUGGUCCCUAUGAAAUUACCCAAAUAACCCUGAUAAUUGAUUUUGCAUUGUUUAGCUCAUUUAUCCUCCGCGUCGAUGACUUUAGAUAUCCAAUUUUUGUCAUUUUAUUUCCCGUUAGGCUAAUCUCUAAUUCAACUAGAUAUUUAGACGCCAACUUGAUGCGUUUUGUUUCGUGUGAACUUGAUUUUAGUAAUUUUACGCGUAACAUUGUGCAAAUUGCAUAAGAUAACUCUCGUGAUUUAAGGUGACCAAAGCUAAAAUAAGUAUUAUUUCUUCUUUUUUUUCUGAGACCCAUGUUUUGAUAGAGAUGCUCUCCUCAUUGCUACUCCAAGAAACUGCAUCAUCUUCUUUUUCAUACCCAUGUGAGUAAAGCAAUCAAAUUGUUGGCUCUGAUGCCAUUUUCCUCUAGAAACAACAUCAUUUUUUUGGUGGGGGCAUUAUACCAAGUUUCACGUGUGGUGAAUAUGGCAAUCCUUGCACAAGUGAUGAGUGAAUAUCAUUUCAUCAUCACUCAUAAAACUGCAUCAUCUCCUCCCGUAAUUCCUCCUCUUUUUGACUUUUUGAAAAAUAUUUAUUAAUUCAUACAGAUAAAUGGUUGGUAAAUUUUAAAAAACAAUUAUUAAAUGAGUUAUGAAUUCAAACAAUUAGAUUUGGCUUAUCCAUAAAGAAAAUCAAAACAUUAUAUUUAAAUAAAUGCUCUUUAAAGGAUAAUUAUGAAUCAGGUAAAUGUUGCGUUGUUGGCUAAAAGGGUAUGGACAGUCAUUUUGAGAGUAUUGACGUCACAUAAUGUUAUGUAUACAUAUAAUUUGUUCGUUUGAGUAGUUUAUACGGAACUUGGCGUAGUGAUAAAGUAAUUCGCUGGACAAGACAAUCUCUUAACUUGCAUCUCGGCUUCCAUUGCGGGAGUUUGGACAUUUUAAAUUCUUAGUUUUGGUAAUUUACAAGGAAGUCCUUGUAUAUGCAGAGAACUACUUUUAGUACCCGGUCCCAUUGCAGGACUUGCUCAUCAUUCAUCAUUCAUCAUUCAUCAUUCAUCAUUCAUCAUUCAUCAACUCCACCUUCAUCUUCAUCUUCAUCUCCACCCAUCAGUCAUUACCCAAAGGUGUCAACUCUUCACAUUUUAAAAGAGAGAUGUCUAUUUUACUCACAUUGAAUAAUGCCUUCACUUAAUUAUAAUAAGAAAUAAACCCCUACAUGCGUCGCAGCGGUCUACUUUACUCACAUUGAAUAAUGCAUUCACUUAAUUAUAAUAAGAAAUAAACCCCUACAUGCGUCGCAGGCCUCGAACCGCUGCCCUCACAGUUGUGAGAACAAGGCUCUGCCCACUUGACCAAAGGCCAAGUGGUUUUUUUUUUUAAAUUUCUAAAUGAUAGUCUAAUUGAUUUCACAUUUUACAAUAGAAAUAAUAGGUCAAGAGUAUAAAUGUACCGUAUGUAUUUAAUAUUAGGUGCAUGAAAUCCAUUUACAAAAAUCGGUAGCAAAUUUACAAUGACAGAAAAACAUUACCACAGGGAGAGGAGGGGACAUAGAAUAGAAGAUGAAUUUUAAUAAAUUAGUAUUUGAAAAAACAAAUGAAAAGUGGACCCAUUAGCAUUACAAAGCGUGGAAAAUAAUAAUGUGUCCGACAUUGCAAAUGCAACCUAACUUGCCACAUGCCCAACAAACGAACGAAACUGCAGAUUCCUUAAAGCAGCUAUAACGUCGGCUUUCCUAGAUUUUUAUAAUGUUUUUUUAUUUUUAUUUUUUUAAUAACAUCGUCCUCUCUUAAUUGAAUAAUAUUUCAUUUUUAUGAAUCCUCAUUGUCAUCGAACCUGUAACUACUACUACUAUGAUAGGUUAUGUCAUUGAUUAAUUAAACAUUGUCACCCCCAGUUGUAUCAGAGUGCAAGGACCACCUUUUUUUAUUUUUAUUUUAAUACAACAUAAAUUAGUGCUAAUUAAAUGUAUAAUCUUGUAUCAGUCAGGAACUUGUAAGAAGAGUGUUGCGUUGGAGGAUUUGUCUAAGAAUAUUAUGGUUGCCGGUAAUCUCACGUCUUGUAGGGAAUAUCAACUGUAUUUUAUAGGUGUACAAUUUUGGGUGGAAUUGAUAUAAUACAUAUGAUGAUACGAUAAUUAAGUUCAACUGAUAAAAAAAAGAUAAUGUAUAAUAAAAUCACACACAAACUUAAUUUAAUUCAAUAAUUGGAAUAAUAAACUAUGAUAAUUAUUUUGGUAGUUAGAGAAAAUUAGUGCUAAUUAUUUGUACAAUCUUCUAUGAAUUACAAAAUUUGCAAGAAGAGUGUUGUAGUUGGAGGAUUUGUUUAAAAAAUAAUAUGAUUGUUGGUAAUCUCACAUCUAGCAAGGAAUAUCAACCAUAUUUUAAAAUGGUACCAAUUAAGAGUCUAAUUUUAGGUGAAAUUGACAUAGUACAUACUAUGAUUAUAAUUCAAUUGAUAAAAAAUAAUACAUAAUAAUGUCGCACACAACUUAAGUUGAUUCAAUAAUGGUCAUUAUAAAAUAUUGUGGUAGUUAGAGAAAAUUAAUCCCAAUCAAGAAAAACAAAAAAGUUCAAUAAAAACAUCAAUGUUGCACAAAGAUGGUCAUAAUGCUCACAAAAUAAUGCCCUUGUGAAAUUAGUGCGCCUCAUCCUUUUAAAUACAAGCAGGGAGUAACAUCUACAAUUAUAAGAAAACUAGAAAAGUGAGAAAAUUAUUCAAUCUUGACUGAACAUCAAUGUCAUACACCAAAGAUUAAUUUUAAUGGACCAAUAGAACAUUGUAAGCGGAACCAAACAAAGAUAUGUCGGCAGGGUAAGAAAAUUGACACCUACAAUAAACAAAUUUAUUUGGAACCAACCAACCCAGUAAUCAUUCUACAAUUGUCAAUUUGUCAUCCGGGGCUUGCUUUUAUGGUGAGCUCUUGAGUCUUGAACAAUUGAUGAACAGAUUCACAUUUAGCCUGCUCCACAGUCCAUAGAAGUAGAACCCACCAAAAACUAUAAAGAAAUAUUAAAAAAAUAAAAGGCAUUUCAUUUUUAUAUACAAGCAUAUAAAGCAUUGGCCACUUUGACAAUCAAAGCUGGUUAAAAAAAAUGGACUGAAAAACAAAAAAGAAAGCAACACGCCCACCGUGGGGCUCGAACCCACGACCACAAGGUUAAGAGCCUUGCGCUCUACCGACUGAGCUAGACGGGCUCGGACGCUAAUCGUCGUUUUGUUUCUGUAUUAUAUAAGUAUUAAGGUCAACCCAACAGAUCAUAAGAGCCUAGUCUUGAAAAUACGUAGCCCCGCAACAGACGAGAAGAUAAAAGGAGAAGGUACACAUCAAUUCAAUCAGAGUUGUUGACCUACUUUGAUCGUUGAAAAUGUAUAAUAAAUAGAAAAUAUAAAAUUUUCAUAUGUUUGAAUAGAUUCAACGAGAAGUAAAACACGAAAAAUAAGACGUAUUUUAUACAUUUAGAUCCCCUAGAGAUAUAUUAUUGAUUAAGUUUCCGAUAGGAUGAGAUUUUAAUAUGAACUUUUGUACUACAUGUAUGAAUCAAAUGUCACAACGUAUAAGUGUGUGGAUUUACGCCUCUAUAAUUUGGAUAUUAAUCUUUUUGAUAUCUUUAGUGGUACGAUGACAAAAGAGUUUUCUUAUAUGAUUAGUUUACCAGUUCAUUUUCAUCAAGCAAGAGUGCUACAGCGCAAGUUAUUUUGUUAACUUGGGAAACAUCUGUCUCCACUUUUUGUGGUCUCGGCUUUCAUGUUCUAAGCAUCUUCACAGCCUAGGACAAGAGAAAUUACCUCUUCGGUUUUCCGUCGUCGUUAAUAUGGUAGUACUUCAUUUGGGUAUCUGUCUAUCUGAUAAUUUUACAUUUUCAAUUUUCAUUUGUGUAUGUAUAGUAAUGUGAUAGAAAAUACUUUACUUGCAUAUAUAGCAAAUGACGAAUCUAAUUCAGUUCCAAGUCUUAGAUGUUUCUCGACUCCACCGAGUUUUGGGCUUGUCUAUGAAGGCCCAUAUCAAUUUCGACGCGUAACACAGCCUGGGUCUGGGUCGCUGGUUUGAAGGAGAGAUUUGCACAUGAUAAUUAGAAGACUGGUUGAGAAGUGACCCAUGGAAGCUUUUUAAAAUUUCAAUUCUAAACUUUGAACAACCUCAAAAAAUUUUAUUACUCAUCCUCUUGUCAUUGUAUUUUUAAUUACAUAUUUAUUAACAUACCUUCGCGUAAUCGCGUUACCUAUAAAAAAAAAAAAAAAAU